CCUGAUGCAGCGACGCCGCGUGGGGGAUGACGGCCUUCGGGUUGUAAACCUCUUUCAGCAGGGAAGAAGCGCAAGUGACGGUACCUGCAGAAGAAGCGCCGGCUAACUACGUGCCAGCAGCCGCGGUAAUACGUAGGGCGCAAGCGUUGUCCGGAAUUAUUGGGCGUAAAGAGCUCGUAGGCGGCUUGUCACGUCGGGUGUGAAAGCUCGGGGCUUAACCCCGGGUCUGCAUUCGAUACGGGCUGGCUGGAGUGUGGUAGGGGAGAUCGGAAUUCCUGGUGUAGCGGUGAAAUGCGCAGAUAUCAGGAGGAACACCGGUGGCGAAGGCGGAUCUCUGGGCCAUUACUGACGCUGAGGAGCGAAAGCGUGGGGAGCGAACAGGAUUAGAUACCCUGGUAGUCCACGCCGUAAACGGUGGGCACUAGGUGUGGGCAACAUUCCACGUUGUCCGUGCCGCAGCUAACGCAUUAAGUGCCCCGCCUGGGGAGUACGGCCGCAAGGCUA
RNAcentral lists this ribosomal RNA (504 nucleotides) under uncultured Actinomycetes bacterium. Its description in RNAcentral is "bacterial SSU rRNA". It matches the Rfam family "Bacterial small subunit ribosomal RNA", at positions 382 to 896 of the family's 1533-position model. The record is from RNAcentral. Lineage: Bacteria; Bacillati; Actinomycetota; Actinomycetes.